Molecule: ribosomal RNA, 482 nt
Filed under: uncultured bacterium
Lineage: Bacteria
Description: partial 16S ribosomal RNA
Rfam family: Bacterial small subunit ribosomal RNA
Source: RNAcentral
AUUGAACGCUGGCGGCAUGCCUUACACAUGCAAGUCGAACGGUAACGGGCCUUCGGGUGCCGACGAGUGGCGAACGGGUGAGUAAUACAUCGGAACGUGCCCGAUCGUGGGGGAUAACGAGGCGAAAGCUUUGCUAAUACCGCAUACGAUCUACGGAUGAAAGCAGGGGACCGCAAGGCCUUGCGCGGACGGAGCGGCCGGUGGCAGAUUAGGUAGUUGGUGGGAUAAAAGCUUACCAAGCCGACGAUCUGUAGCUGGUCUGAGGGGAUGAUCAGCCACACUGGGACUGAGACACGGCCCAGACUCCUACGGGAGGCAGCAGUGGGGAAUUUUGGACAAUGGGCGCAAGCCUGAUCCAGCCAUGCCGCGUGCAGGAUGAAGGCCUUCGGGUUGUAAACUGCUUUUGUACGGAACGAAAAGCCUUCUUUUAAUACAGGAGGGUCAUGACGGUACCGUAAGAAUAAGCACCGGCUAACUACGUG